GACGAACGCUGGCGGCGUGCUUAACACAUGCAAGUCGAACGGGUCUGCCCUGUUUUUUGCGGGGUGGGUCAGUGGCGAACGGGUGAGUAACACGUGAGUAACCUGCCCCUCACUUCUGGAUAACCGCUUGAAAGGGUGGCUAAUACGGGGUGUUCUGGCUGUGCCGCAUGGUGUGGCUGGGAAAGAUUCACUUUUGUGGUGUUUUGGUGGGGGAUGGGCUCGCGGCCUAUCAGCUUGUUGGUGGGGUGAUGGCCUGCCAAGGCGUUGACGGGUAGCCGGCCUGGGAGGGUGGGCGGUCACACUGGGACUGAGAUACGGCCCAGACUCCUGCGGGGGGCAGCAGUGGGGGGUAUUGCACGAUGGGCGGAAGGCUGAUGCAGCGGCGUCGCGUGAGUGAUGGAGGCCUUCGGGUUGUGAACCUCUUUCGCCGGUGAAGAAGGUCCUGCUCUUUGUGGUGGGGUUGACGGUAGCCGGGUUAUGAAGCGCCGGCUAACUACGUG
This 500-nucleotide ribosomal RNA is filed under the name uncultured bacterium. RNAcentral describes it as "partial 16S ribosomal RNA". It matches the Rfam family "Bacterial small subunit ribosomal RNA", at positions 28 to 507 of the family's 1533-position model. The record is from RNAcentral.